AGCCUGCCCAGUGACUUUGUUCAACGGCCGCGGUAUCCUAACCGUGCGAAGGUAGCGUAAUCACUUGUUCUUUAAAUGAGGACUAGUAUGAAUGGCAUCACGAAGGUUAUACUGUCUCCUUUUUCUAAUCAGUGAAACUAAUCUUCCCGUGAAGAAGCGGGAAUAGUAAUAUAAGACGAGAAGACCCUAUGGAGCUUUAAACAAAUGUACAAUUGCCCACUUAAUUAAAAAUUUCAGAAGAUAAAUACUUACCCAAGCAAUUUGAUAUUAAAGUUUUAGGUUGGGGUGACCGCGGAGCAAAAAACAACCUCCGCAGUGAAAGGGGGAUCCCCCUAAACUAAGGGCUACUACCCUAAGUAUCAAUAAACUGACACCAGUUGACCCAAUACACUUGAUCAACGAACCAAGUUACCCUAGGGAUAACAGCGCAAUCCACUUCAAGAGCUCCUAUCGACAGUGGGUUACGACCUCGAUGUUGGAUCAGGGUAUCCUAGUGGUGCAGCCGCUACUAACGGUUC
This 518-nucleotide ribosomal RNA is filed under the name Leptodactylus jolyi (Joly's foam frog). RNAcentral's name for it is "partial 16S ribosomal RNA". It matches the Rfam family "Bacterial large subunit ribosomal RNA", at positions 1856 to 2574 of the family's 2925-position model. The record is from RNAcentral. Lineage: Eukaryota; Metazoa; Chordata; Amphibia; Anura; Leptodactylidae.